AGAGCGAACGCUGGCGGCAGGCCUAAUACAUGCAAGUCGAACGGAUCCUUCGGGAUUAGUGGCGGACGGGUGAGUAACACGUGGGAACGUGCCCUUUGGUUCAGAACAACUCAGGGAAACUUGAGCUAAUACUGGAUAAGCCCUUCGGGGGAAAGAUUUAUCGCCAUUGGAGCGGCCCGCGUCUGAUUAGCUAGUUGGUAGGGUAAAGGCCUACCAAGGCUUCGAUCAGUAGCUGGUCUGAGAGGAUGAUCAGCCACACUGGGACUGAGACACGGCCCAGACUCCUACGGGAGGCAGCAGUAGGGAAUCUUGCGCAAUGGGCGAAAGCCUGACGCAGCCAUGCCGCGUGAAUGAUGAAGGUCUUAGGAUUGUAAAAUUCUUUCAGCGGGGACGAUAAUGACGGUACCCGCAGAAGAAGCCCGGCUAACUUCGUGCCAGCAGCCGC
Molecule: ribosomal RNA, 445 nt
Filed under: uncultured bacterium
Lineage: Bacteria
Description: SSU rRNA
Rfam family: Bacterial small subunit ribosomal RNA
Source: RNAcentral